This 345-nucleotide ribosomal RNA is filed under the name uncultured archaeon. RNAcentral's name for it is "bacterial SSU rRNA". It matches the Rfam family "Archaeal small subunit ribosomal RNA", at positions 691 to 1035 of the family's 1478-position model. The record is from RNAcentral.
CCGACGGUGAGGGGUGAAAGCUGGGGGAGCAAACCGGAUUAGAUACCCGGGUAGUCCCAGCCGUAAACGAUGUGCGUUAGGUGUAUCGGUGACCACGAGUCACCGAGGUGCCGAAGAGAAAUCGUGAAACGUACCGCCUGGGAAGUACGGUCGCAAGGCUGAAACUUAAAGGAAUUGGCGGGGGAGCACCACAACAGGUGGAGCCUGCGGUUUAAUCGGACUCAACGCCGGGAAACUCACCAGAUAAGACAGCUGAAUGAUAGUCGGGCUGAAGACUCUACUUGACUAGCUGAGAGGAGGUGCAUGGCCGUCGUCAGUUCGUACUGUGAAGCAUCCUGUUAAGUC